UUCAGUCCUCGAGACCGUUAUUGUUCAUCCGACACAAUACUCCCUUGCUCACUGAAUUGACAUAUGAGACCUCCUAGGCGCAAUAUUUCGACGCUUAUCUUGUCUCCAAUCCUCUGACCUCUACUUAUUGCGACAUCUCGUCGCCUCCCCCACAGACGGCUUCUAACCGUCAUAUGACAUCAGUUUCAAAACCGCUGUCGAC
This 202-nucleotide long non-coding RNA is filed under the name Capsella rubella. RNAcentral's name for it is "long non-coding RNA (CRUB_LNC002214)". Lineage: Eukaryota; Viridiplantae; Streptophyta; Magnoliopsida; Brassicales; Brassicaceae. The record is from RNAcentral.